This is a long non-coding RNA of Etheostoma spectabile (orangethroat darter), 221 nucleotides long. RefSeq lists it as uncharacterized. NCBI's taxonomy places the organism in Eukaryota, Metazoa, Chordata, Actinopteri, Perciformes, Percidae. The transcript has 3 exons. The record is from RefSeq and is a predicted model, not a curated record.
GUUUCUAUGAUGUUUUGUGCUAGGUUUUGAUUUGCUUGUGUUGUCUUCCUUUUUGUUUAUUUGUAUUUUAAAAUGCCUUUUUUAACAGUGAGGGCAGGGGACUACAGAUGAGAAAUAGCCUUUUGGCUAAUUCUGGCUUUUUUAACCCAUGGGAAAUCACGUGUUUUAUUAAUUUGCACUGUCCCCUUUCAUAAAUAAACCAAAUUCAAUAAAGACGAAGG